This is a long non-coding RNA of Mya arenaria, 490 nucleotides long. RefSeq lists it as uncharacterized. Lineage: Eukaryota; Metazoa; Mollusca; Bivalvia; Myida; Myidae. The transcript has 3 exons. The record is from RefSeq and is a predicted model, not a curated record.
AGUGCUAUCGCUUUAACAUCAAUCGAAGCAAAAAUGGCAUCAAUGUAUGCGUCUAAAAAUGUUAAAUUUAGAUGGAGACAAUCCAGAAAUGAGCUGCCAGGAAGUGAUCGAUUUCGGACACGAAGAUUGAGAAGUGCCUGGAUACAAGGCUAGUAUUGUUAACAUCAUUUGAUACAAUCAACUGGAACAAAGCUGAAAUGGCUGCCUGACCUGACUUAAAAAUUGGAUGGCAGUACAUCAGACUAGAAGAUUACAAGUAUUGAGGUGGACAAAAUGAUACCUGAGCCUACCAAAGCUGACAGAUUGCACAAGAAACACAUAAAUGCAGUUGUUGCAGUGAAACUUGCACCAGUGUGUUUUCUGUGGAGAUAAAGAGAUAGUGUCCAGCAAUGAAGACCCAACUCAAGAUAUGACCUUGUAAGGCCAACAUGAAAUAACUGUGUGGGAAAAUGGGAAAAACCUGCAGUCAGGAAUGCACGGAAAUCAUCAA